RNAcentral lists this ribosomal RNA (509 nucleotides) under uncultured bacterium. RNAcentral describes it as "partial 16S ribosomal RNA". The stretch from base 20 to 332 matches the Rfam family "Bacterial small subunit ribosomal RNA", at positions 47 to 358 of the family's 1533-position model. The record is from RNAcentral.
GACGAACGCUGGCGGCGUGCUUAACACAUGCAAGUCGAACGGAAAGGCCCUGCUUUUGUGGGGUGCUCGAGUGGCGAACGGGUGAGUAACACGUGAGUAACCUGCCCUUGACUUUGGGAUAACUUCAGGAAACUGGGGCUAAUACCGGAUAGGAGCUCCUGCUGCAUGGUGGGGGUUGGAAAGUUUCGGCGGUUGGGGAUGGACUCGCGGCUUAUCAGCUUGUUGGUGGGGUAGUGGCUUACCAAGGCUUUGACGGGUAGCCGGCCUGAGAGGGUGACCGGCGAAAGGGGGGCUGGAGGCAGGCGCGGGCAGGUAGGGGGGGAUGGGGGGGGGAGUGGGAAGGAACGGGCGGAACCGGGGUGCGGGACGGGGGCGUGGGGGAUGGGGGGUGGCGGGUUGAAAGGCGCUGGGGGGGGGGGCGGAGGGUGAGGGGCGGAAGGGGGAAAGGAAGCACCAGCUAACGAAGGGCGAGCAGCCGGGGAAAGAGUCGGAACGGAAGACGUCUGACC